This 793-nucleotide ribosomal RNA is filed under the name uncultured bacterium. RNAcentral describes it as "bacterial SSU rRNA". It matches the Rfam family "Bacterial small subunit ribosomal RNA", at positions 8 to 796 of the family's 1533-position model. The record is from RNAcentral.
AGAGUUUGAUCCUGGCUCAGGAUGAACGCUAGCGGGAGGCUUAACACAUGCAAGUCGAGGGGCAACAGGAGUAGCAAUACUUGCUGGCGACCGGCGCACGGGUGAGUAACGCGUAUGCAACCUACCCAUAACAGGGGGAUAGCUUUCGGAAACGGAAAUUAAUACCCCAUAGGAUUUUAAUGCCGCAUGGUAUAAAGAUUAAAACUACGGUGGUUAUGGAUGGGCAUGCGUGCCAUUAGCUAGUUGGCGGGGUAACAGCCCACCAAGGCGACGAUGGCUAGGGGGUCUAAAAGGAUGAUCCCCCACACUGGUACUGAGACACGGACCAGACUCCUACGGGAGGCAGCAGUGAGGAAUAUUGGUCAAUGGGCGAGAGCCUGAACCAGCCAUCCCGCGUGCAGGAAGACGGCCCUAUGGGUUGUAAACUGCUUUUUUAUGGGAAGAAAAAGCCCUACGUGUAGGGCACUGACGGUACCAUAUGAAUAAGCAUCGGCUAACUCCGUGCCAGCAGCCGCGGUAAUACGGAGGAUGCGAGCGUUAUCCGGAUUUAUUAGGUUUAAAGGGUGUGUAGGCGGGUUAUUAAGUCAGUGGUGAAAUCUCAGAGCUUAACUCUGAAACUGCCAUUGAUACUGGUAAUCUUGAGUACAGUUGAAGUAGGCGGAAUGUGUAAUGUAGCGGUGAAAUGCUUAGAUAUUACACAGAACACCGAUUGCGAAGGCAGCUUACUAAGCUGUUACUGACGCUGAUGCACGAAAGCGUGGGGAGCGAACAGGAUUAGAUACCCUGGUAGUCC